CACGUAGUUGGCCGGUGCUUCUUCUCGACCUACCGUCAACCCACCACAAAGUGGGCCUUCGUCGAUCGCGAAAGAGGUUUACAACCCGAAGGCCGUCAUCCCUCACGCGGCGUUGCUGCGUCAGGCUUCCGCCCAUUGCGCAAGAUUCCCCACUGCUGCCUCCCGUAGGAGUCUGGGCCGUGUCUCAGUCCCAGUGUGGCCGAUCACCCUCUCAGGCCGGCUACCCGUCGUCGCCUUGGUAGGCCAUCACCCCACCAACAAGCUGAUAGACCGCGGGCCCAUCCCCCACCGAAAAAACUUUCCACAACCAGGCAUGCACCCAGAAGUCAUAUCCGGUAUUAGACCCGGUUUCCCAGGCUUAUCCCGAAGUGGAGGGCAGGUCACCCACGUGUUACUCACCCGUUGCCGCUCGUGUACCCCGAAGGGCCUUACCGCUCGACUUGCAUGUGUUAAGCACGCCGCCAGCGUUCGCCUGAGCCAGGAUCAAACUACU
This 493-nucleotide ribosomal RNA is filed under the name uncultured Actinomycetospora sp. RNAcentral describes it as "partial 16S ribosomal RNA". Lineage: Bacteria; Bacillati; Actinomycetota; Actinomycetes; Pseudonocardiales; Pseudonocardiaceae. The record is from RNAcentral.